RNAcentral lists this ribosomal RNA (742 nucleotides) under uncultured bacterium. Its description in RNAcentral is "bacterial SSU rRNA". It matches the Rfam family "Bacterial small subunit ribosomal RNA", at positions 8 to 796 of the family's 1533-position model. The record is from RNAcentral.
AGAGUUUGAUCAUGGCUCAGAGCGAACGCUGGCGGCAGGCCUAACACAUGCAAGUCGAGCGCCGUAGCAAUACGGAGCGGCAGACGGGAGAGUAACACGUGGGAACGUGCCCUUUGGUUCGGAACAACACAGGGAAACUUGUGCUAAUACCGGAUAAGCCCUUACGGGGAAAGAUUUAUCGCCAAAGGAUCGGCCCGCGUCUGAUUAGCUAGUUGGUGAGGUAACGGCUCACCAAGGCGACGAUCAGUAGCUGGUCUGAGAGGAUGAUCAGCCUCACUGGGACUGAGACACGGCCCAGACUCCUACGGGAGGCAGCAGUGGGGAAUAUUGGACAAUGGGCGCAAGCCUGAUCCAGCCAUGCCGCGUGGAUGAUGAAGGCCCUAGGGUUGUAAAGUCCUUUCGGCGGGGAAGAUAAUGACGGUACCCGCAGAAGAAGCCCCGGCUAACUUCGUGCCAGCAGCCGCGGUAAUACGAAGGGGGCUAGCGUUGCUCGGAAUCACUGGGCGUAAAGCGCACGUAGGCGGCUUUUUAAGUCAGGGGUGAAAUCCUGGAGCUCAACUCCAGAACUGCCUUUGAUACUGAGAAGCUUGAGUCCGGGAGAGGUGAGUGGAACUGCGAGUGUAGAGGUGAAAUUCGUAGAUAUUCGCAAGAACACCAGUGGCGAAGGCGGCUCACUGGCCCGGUACUGACGCUGAGGUGCGAAAGCGUGGGGAGCAAACAGGAUUAGAUACCCUAGUAGUCC